Molecule: unclassified non-coding RNA, 214 nt
Filed under: soil metagenome
Description: partial contains 5.8S ribosomal RNA, internal transcribed spacer 2, and large subunit ribosomal RNA
Source: RNAcentral
AACGCACGAGACCUGCGGACCUGCGGAGGGAUCAUUAUCGAGUUUACAACUCCCAAACCAUUGUGAAUCUUACCUUUUCGUUGCUUCGGCGGGAUCGCCCCGGGCGCUUCGGUGCCCCGGAUUCAGGCGCCCGCCGGGGGACCUAAACUCUUGUAUUAUAGUGGAUUUCUGAGUGGAUUACACAAAUAAUCAAAACUUUCAGCAAUGGAUCUCU